CCUACGAGGGGCAGCAGUGGGGAAUAUUGGGCAAUGGGCGCAAGCCUGACCCAGCAACGCCGCGUGAAGGAAGAAGGCUUUCGGGUUGUAAACUUCUUUUAAGGGGGAAGAGCAGAAGACGGUACCCCUUGAAUAAGCCACGGCUAACUACGUGCCAGCAGCCGCGGUAAUACGUAGGUGGCAAGCGUUGUCCGGAUUUACUGGGUGUAAAGGGCGUGCAGCCGGGGAGACAAGUCAGAUGUGAAAUCCACGGGCUCAACCCGUGAACUGCAUUUGAAACUGUUUCCCUUGAGUGUCGGAGAGGUAAUCGGAAUUCCUUGUGUAGCGGUGAAAUGCGUAGAUAUAAGGAAGAACACCAGUGGCGAAGGCGGAUUACUGGACGAUAACUGACGGUGAGGCGCGAAAGCGUGGGGAGCAAACAGGAUUAGAUACCCCUGUAGUC
This 442-nucleotide ribosomal RNA is filed under the name uncultured bacterium. RNAcentral describes it as "partial 16S ribosomal RNA". It matches the Rfam family "Bacterial small subunit ribosomal RNA", at positions 338 to 795 of the family's 1533-position model. The record is from RNAcentral.